RNAcentral lists this ribosomal RNA (254 nucleotides) under uncultured bacterium. RNAcentral describes it as "partial 16S ribosomal RNA". It matches the Rfam family "Bacterial small subunit ribosomal RNA", at positions 524 to 776 of the family's 1533-position model. The record is from RNAcentral.
UACGGAGGGUGCGAGCGUUGUCCGGAAUCACUGGGCGUAAAGGGCGCGUAGGUGGCGCGGGCAGUCAACGGUGAAAGUUCGGGGCUCAACCCUGAAUCGGCCGUCGAUACUCCCGGGCUUGAGCACUGUAGAGGCAGAUGGAAUUCCGGGUGUAGCGGUGGAAUGCGUAGAGAUCCGGAAGAACACCGGUGGCGAAGGCGGUCUGCUGGGCAGUAGCUGACACUGAGGCGCGACAGCGUGGGGGAGCAAACAGG